AUGUCUCUUGCCUCGCUCGGUCUGCCGUUUCCCCUCGGCUAAUCUUGAGCUGGAUGCAGCCGGUCACUUUUAGUGCUGGCUUGUACGAGACAAGAAGAAGCGUGAAAACGCGUCGACGUUUUUUGAGUACGAUUUGAUCCGCAAUGCACCACGGGUCUCCGUCGUAAUUUAUCAGUCGGGACAACC
Molecule: small nucleolar RNA, 186 nt
Filed under: Penicillium flavigenum
Lineage: Eukaryota; Fungi; Ascomycota; Eurotiomycetes; Eurotiales; Aspergillaceae
Source: RNAcentral